GCCGUGAUAGUAUAGUGGUCAGUACAUUGCGCGUGGCCGCAAUAACCCUGGUUCAAAUCCUGGUCACGGCC
Molecule: transfer RNA, 71 nt
Filed under: Paramuricea clavata
Lineage: Eukaryota; Metazoa; Cnidaria; Anthozoa; Malacalcyonacea; Plexauridae
Rfam family: tRNA
About the family: Transfer RNA (tRNA) molecules are approximately 80 nucleotides in length. Their secondary structure includes four short double-helical elements and three loops (D, anti-codon, and T loops).
Source: Rfam by way of RNAcentral